RNAcentral lists this ribosomal RNA (833 nucleotides) under uncultured archaeon. RNAcentral describes it as "bacterial SSU rRNA". It matches the Rfam family "Archaeal small subunit ribosomal RNA", at positions 21 to 859 of the family's 1478-position model. The record is from RNAcentral.
AGGUUACUGCUAUCGAGGUUCGACUAAGCCAUGCGAGUCGAAUGUAGCAAUACAUGGCGUACUGCUCAGUAACACGUGGACAACCUACCCUUAGGACGGGGAUAAACCCGGGAAACUGGGUAUAAUACCCGAUAGUCCUCGAAUGCUGGAAUGCAUCGCGGACUAAAGCUCCGGCGCCUAAGGAUGGGUCUGCGGCCUAUCAGGUAGUAGUGGGUGUAGCGUACCUACUAGCCAACGACGGGUACGGGUUGUGAGAGCAAGAGCCCGGAGAUGGAUUCUGAGACACGAAUCCAGGCCCUACGGGGUGCAGCAGGCGCGAAAACUUUACAAUGCUGGAAACAGCGAUAAGGGGACCUCGAGUGCCAGGUUACAAAUCUGGCUGUCGUGAUGCCUAAAAAGCAUCGCAUAGCAAGGGCCGGGCAAGACCGGUGCCAGCCGCCGCGGUAACACCGGCGGCUCGAGUGGUAACCGUUAUUAUUGGGUCUAAAGGGUCCGUAGCCGGCCGGAUAAGUCUCUUGGGAAAUCUGGCAGCUUAACUGUCAGGCUUUCAGGAGAUACUGUCUGGCUCGAGGCCGGGAGAGGUGAGAGGUACUUCAGGGGUAGGGGUGAAAUCUUGUAAUCCUUGAAGGACCACCAGUGGCGAAGGCGUCUCACCAGAACGGACCUGACGGCAAGGGACGAAAGCUAGGGGCACGAACCGGAUUAGAUACCCGGGUAGUCCUAGCCGUAAACGAUACUCGCUAGGUGUCGGCCACGGUGCGACCGUUGUCGGUGCCGUAGGGAAGCCGUCAAGCGAGCCACCUGGGAAGUACGGCCGCAAGGCUGAAACUUAA